UUUGCGCGCUUCCCCGUCGCUAGCAGAAAAAUGUCCAUCAUGUAGGCUGGUAGAUAGUGAAACAAAAUUUGCGUGAUUUUGAGAUUAAGAUAGUGCAUUGUGCAAUGAACGCUGGGAUACCACAGCAUUUCUUUAGUAGGAAACUUCAACCAAAAUUCUACGGUCCAAUGUUUUAGCAUACCCCAGGUGAGUGGGUUUCGAUGUCCAGUGGUGCAAGUGUAGACGGGAACGCCAGUUGGCCUGCUCAAGUUCAGUGUUAAAAAUAUUGAUUGAUUCAAACUCAAAUUUAACAUCGAGAUAUUUUUACCUGGUACGAUAGAUCCCUUUACCGACAGCAGCAAUUGUUCCUAACCAAGCAAAAUUAACCCAAUACUAAAAGGAAAAGGUUCACUUUCAGCCGCAGUCACGAUGGAUGGCCGGACAAUUGCCAAGGGAACGCUUCCACAGUUAGU
Molecule: long non-coding RNA, 452 nt
Organism: Daphnia pulicaria
Lineage: Eukaryota; Metazoa; Arthropoda; Branchiopoda; Diplostraca; Daphniidae
Exons: 3
Source: RefSeq, a predicted model, not a curated record